This 109-nucleotide transfer RNA is filed under the name Butyrivibrio sp. Its description in RNAcentral is "tRNA-OTHER". It matches the Rfam family "tRNA". From Rfam's summary of the family: Transfer RNA (tRNA) molecules are approximately 80 nucleotides in length. Their secondary structure includes four short double-helical elements and three loops (D, anti-codon, and T loops). Further hydrogen bonds mediate the characteristic L-shaped molecular structure. tRNAs have two regions of fundamental functional importance: the anti-codon, which is responsible for specific mRNA codon recognition, and the 3' end, to which the tRNAs corresponding amino acid is attached (by aminoacyl-tRNA synthetases). tRNAs cope with the degeneracy of the genetic code in two manners: having more than one tRNA (with a specific anti-codon) for a particular amino acid; and 'wobble' base-pairing, i.e. permitting non-standard base-pairing at the 3rd anti-codon position. Lineage: Bacteria; Bacillati; Bacillota; Clostridia; Lachnospirales; Lachnospiraceae. The record is from RNAcentral.
GCAGAGUUGGCUCAAUUGGUACAGCAGCGGGAGCGACGCAAAGCUAGUCCCCGUAGGGGAAAAACCGCCAUCCUGAAAGGGUAUCUGGGUUCGAAUCCCAGGCUCUGCG